AUUUGCAGGGCUCAAACAUCUCUCCUCUUCAACUUGUCUAGAAAAGUCUGACCCUAGUUACUUGUCCUGAAAGUUACUCUUCAGAAGUUGAAUAUUUAUUUUGCAUGACAUUUUCUGCCUGUCUCGCAUCCAAGGACAAGGAAGCCUUAUUAAAAACACAAUAGCCUAACCAUUUUUCCUUUCUUUUCUCAGAUCCUUCUCCACCAUCAGGUCCAUCGCUGGCAUUUGCGUAUUUGGCAGUCCCCUUUGUGAUUCUGAUGAUUCUCCUCGUUUUCUACUGUGGACAGAAAAAGACUGGUAGUUAUGUGAUGGGUUUUGAGGAUACUGUGAUGCUUAUGUGAAUAAUAUUGUGUGUGCCUUUUCAGCCUUUGGCUCUCUUUUUCUCCUCUGUGGAAGCAGUGAAAUGCCAGCAGGAUUCUGAGCCAGAAGAACAGGAGGAGGAGGAACUGCGUGAUCUUGAAACAGGGGAGCCCCAAACAGCAGUUUUGCAGGAACACAACCAAUCUGGCAGAGUCAGGGAGAGACAGCCCAUCCUCUCUUUGAAAGCAGAGAGACAGCGGUGGAGCAGAGGACACAGCCAUUGGCCUUCGAGGGACGCCGGCCGAGCAUGAAAUUUGCUGCUUUGAUAACAGCCUGUCUGCGGAUCCUCCUUUGGAGAUCAGUCCAUGCAGAGAUCCCACCUGCAGCAAUUCUUUCCUUGGAUCCCCAGCACCCCGUCUACAUCAAAGGUGAAAAGGUGAUUCUCACUUGUUCGGCUCCUGUUGGCCCGAAGGUGGCAGGAUAUACGUUCUUCAAAGAACAGCAAGACCAGACCUUCAAGGAGUUGCCCAAUAGUGGAAUGGGGCCUUAUGAGAUGUUCCGUGUCAGUGAAGAUACUGUUGGGAAUUACAGCUGUGUUUACUGGAUCAUGCCCUCAGGACAGGAAAUCUGGUCCGCACAGAGCAACCUUGUCUCUGUAGCCAUGGCAGAUCCCCCUCCUUUCCCGGUGCUCAAAGUGGAUCCUCCGUCUGGAGUGGUGAACGAAGGGAGCUCCCUGCGCCUCACUUGCUUGGCCAUGGGACCAUGA
RNAcentral lists this long non-coding RNA (1066 nucleotides) under Podarcis muralis (Common wall lizard). Its description in RNAcentral is "lncRNA (ENSPMRG00000021293.1)". Lineage: Eukaryota; Metazoa; Chordata; Lepidosauria; Squamata; Lacertidae. The record is from RNAcentral.